AUGUUUGUGUCGGUACAACUAUGGAUGAACUUCUCCGUCACAAAUGCUGCUAAUAGAGACCUUCAGUACAUCCGUACCUUGUUGACACCAAAAAGGCGUGGUUUUGGACCAAUGCACACAAGGCUGAUCAUGGCUCCGGUUCAACUUGAGCAAACUUGGAAUGGGUAUGGUUUUGACAUGCGAGACAAGAUCCUACACGUCCUUGAUCCAGUGAACACCGAGGCUAAUGAAGCAGCGUAUGUCGCCAAGCAUGGGGCAACGAUUGAGCUCAUGUUUGAUGGUAUGGCUCAAGCUAGAGGAUUGUUCGGGAACGAGGGGUGUACACUGGAUCCAGCUCAGUGGCACGUUUGCUUCAACAGCAACAUGCACCGCCCGUGUUCAAAAUCGACAUCAGGGGCUUAUGUGCUGCACUACACAAAGCACUUCACUUGUGAUGGCUAG
Molecule: ribosomal RNA, 441 nt
Filed under: Triticum aestivum (bread wheat)
Lineage: Eukaryota; Viridiplantae; Streptophyta; Magnoliopsida; Poales; Poaceae
Description: partial small subunit ribosomal RNA
Source: RNAcentral